UAACAUGAUUAGUAGCAAUACUAAUUGAUGACGAGCGGCGGACGGGUGAGGAAUACGUAGGAACCUGCCCUCAAGAGGGGGAUAACUAAGGGAAACUUUAGCUAAUACCGCAUAAUCUUGAAGAAGCAAAGCUGCCCUGGAGAGAUCCGGGGUGGCACUUGAGGAGGGGCCUGCGUCCGAUUAGCUAGUUGGUGAGGUAAGAGCUCACCAAGGCGAUGAUCGGCAACUGGUCUGAGAGGACGACCAGUCACACUGGGACUGAGACACGGCCCAGACUCCUACGGGAGGCAGCAGUGGGGAAUAUUGGACAAUGGGGGCAACCCUGAUCCAGCGAUGCCGCGUGGGUGAAGAAGGCCUUCGGGUUGUAAAGCCCUUUAGGUUGGGACGAAGGUUAUUAUCGGAUAAUGGUAGUAACUUGACGGUACCGACAGAAUAAGCACCGGCAAACUCUGUGCCAGCAGCCGCGGUAAUACAGAGGGUGCGAGCGUUAAUCGGAUUUACUGGGCGUAAAGGGCGCGUAGGCGGUGAGAUGUGAGUGAUGUGAAAGCCCCGGGCUCAACCUGGGAAGUGCAUCGCAGACUAUCUGACUGGAGUAGAUGAGAGGGUGGCGGAAUUUCCGGUGUAGCGGUGAAAUGCGUAGAGAUCGGAAGGAACGUCGAUGGCGAAGGCAGCCACCUGGCAUCAUACUGACGCUGAGGCGCGAAAGCGUGGGGAUCGAACAGGAUUAGAUACCCUGGUAGUCCACGCUGUAAACGAUGAAAACUAGAUGUUGGUAGGGGAACCUAUCAGUAUCGAAGCUAACGCGAUAAG
This 810-nucleotide ribosomal RNA is filed under the name uncultured Gammaproteobacteria bacterium. RNAcentral describes it as "bacterial SSU rRNA". It matches the Rfam family "Bacterial small subunit ribosomal RNA", at positions 70 to 864 of the family's 1533-position model. The record is from RNAcentral. Lineage: Bacteria; Pseudomonadati; Pseudomonadota; Gammaproteobacteria.